Long non-coding RNA from Medicago truncatula (barrel medic), 1242 nucleotides. RefSeq lists it as uncharacterized. The transcript is spliced from 3 exons. Lineage: Eukaryota; Viridiplantae; Streptophyta; Magnoliopsida; Fabales; Fabaceae. The record is from RefSeq and is a predicted model, not a curated record.
UAACAUGCAUCAUUAAAUAGAGCGACCUAGGUUAUAGUUCUAGGGUAAAAUAGGGCAGCGGCCUAUUUAACUACUCCCUCCGUCCUUCAAUACUUGACCUACUUAACCAUUUCACACAGACGGAGUGAGUAGCAUUAAUUGAAAAAUGGUGACCGCAUGCAUGAAGAGUAAUGUUGCACAGGGCUCAACAAUUGGAUUGAAUAGUCUCCACUUUUCAUUUUAUAUUUUCUUUACCUUUUGUCCUCUCCAUUUCAUACGCAUCUUUCUCCCUCCUCCUACUUUCAACCAAGAUAUCAUCUUCCAUUCUUUCUCUUAUAAAGAACCAAACCCUUAGUUCAACUUCAACAACCACCGAUUUAACAAGAGGCGAGAUUGCUGGAUUGUUCACUUCCUGAAAUUAAACUUUUCAUCCAAUUUGUUCAUCAGUUCAUCCAGUCCAACACACAGCACCAUCCUGAGACAAAUCUUCAACAUUCAAAAACUCGUCAAAGGUACAUGAGAAAUUAUGACCAUCCUAUCCUAUUAAAGUGUUAAUUAUGUUGGAGUGUUUUGAAUGUUGAGAUUUAGAUCGAGAUGCCCAUCUAUGCGAACGUCUCUACUUAUUAGGGAUAUGUUGGGGAAUGGAUGCACCCUUAUGGACCAACCAAAGAAAGAAUUGUAUCAAAUGUAAGUAGCACCGACAAGCUUGGUCAGUUAUUAUGAAAGAUGUCGAAAUCGUCCAUCUCCCAAGGGAAGCUAACUUAGAGGCGGAUUGUGUAGAAAACGAAGGAUCGUCAACGUCAGGAAGGUCGCUGGUGGGGUUUCUGAACUAAUUUUGAUUGAAAUGUGCAGGUUUGUUGGUGGUGUUAUGUCUGUAGCUGUAAUGUGAUUCUAUCUUGCGAAGUCUUGCAUGUGAUUUUUGUCAUACAUUGCCGUGUGCCAAGCUGUUUGAAAAAAGCCUGAUUUUAUGAGGCUUUGGAGUGUCUCAUCUGUCUGGUCUUAUCUUUGGUUCCUGGGAUUGUUUUAGCCUGUUAGCAGAAUGUUUUUUCUGUGUUUUUAGGUGUUGUGUGGAGUUAUGGUGUGCCUUUCCUGUAGUUUCUAAUGCUUUACUUUCACAGAUAUUUUUGGUAGAAAUCUUUGUAGCCUGUACUUUGUAAGCCUUUCCUGUAGUUUCCAAUAUAUUUGAUGCAUUGCUUUGAUUAUUGGUGAAAAUGUGAAAUGUAUCAUAAGAUAUAAAUAGCCUAUAAUUUCUUAUGAUUUCAA